UUACUGUUGCUUGAUAACCAAUCUCUGCUUGCUCGUUGUUGCUUAUCGCUGUUACUCUCGUCCGUUUAAAAACCGCCGGAGCUUCAAUUUUCCCCGGUAACCCCUCUCUGAAGCCUCUCUCUGCAAUUUUCCACACAAAAACGCAAAAUUCAGAUUAAAAAAGGUUUUGUUCAAUUCUAGUUCCAAGAUUCAUUACCUUGACGAGAAGUGGUUGUCGGAAGUAGCGAGACAUUAGGGGAACUCUGUUUAUCGAUUUUGAGCUUCUUCUUCCUCUCAGAAGGAGAAGAUGAAGAACGAGUUGCAGAAGAAGGAAUCCACGUGCUCUUCACGUGAGUGACACAGUUGUAUCCUCUGCUUUUACAACAAGUUCUACAUCUUUCGAACAAACACUCUUUCUUUGCUCUGUUUCCACAGUCUCUGCAUACUUUCUCUCCAACUGUGUUGUUGUCUUCCACCGCCGCGAAGUUUACCGGAGGAAGAGAUGGCCGUGUUAUC
RNAcentral lists this long non-coding RNA (495 nucleotides) under Arabidopsis thaliana (thale cress). RNAcentral's name for it is "long non-coding RNA (ATHA_LNC000196)". Lineage: Eukaryota; Viridiplantae; Streptophyta; Magnoliopsida; Brassicales; Brassicaceae. The record is from RNAcentral.